GCGCGAGUGGCGGAACGGCAGACGCGCCGCGCUUAGGACGCGGUGCCCGGAAGGGCGUGGGGGUUCGAGUCCCCCCUCGCGCA
Molecule: transfer RNA, 83 nt
Filed under: Rhodococcus triatomae
Lineage: Bacteria; Bacillati; Actinomycetota; Actinomycetes; Mycobacteriales; Nocardiaceae
Rfam family: tRNA
About the family: Transfer RNA (tRNA) molecules are approximately 80 nucleotides in length. Their secondary structure includes four short double-helical elements and three loops (D, anti-codon, and T loops).
Source: Rfam by way of RNAcentral